AUUACCCAAUCCCGAUCCGGGGAGGUAGUGACAAUAAAUACUGAUACAGGGCUCUUUUGGGUCUUGUAAUUGGAAUGAGUACAAUCUAAAUCCCUUAACGAGGAACAAUUGGAGGGCAAGUCUGGUGCCAGCAGCCACGGUAAUUCCAGCUCCAAUAGCGUAUAUUAAAGUUGUUGCAGUUAAAAAGCUCGUAGUUGAACCUUGGGCCUGGCUGGCCGGUCCGCCUCACCGCGAGUACUGGUCCGGCUGGGCCUUUCCUUCUGGGGAACCCCAUGGCCUUCACUGGCUGUGGCGGGGAACCAGGACUUUUACUGUGAAAAAAUUAGAGUGUUCAAAGCAGGCCUUUGCUCGGAUACAUUAGCAUGGAAUAAUAGAAUAGGACGUGCGGUUCUAUUUUGUUGGUUUCUAGGACCGCCGUAAUGAUUAAUAGGGAUAGUCGGGGGCGUCAGUAUUCAGCUGUCAGAGGUGAAAUUCUUGGAUUUGCUGAAGACUAACUACUGCGAAAGCAUUCGCCAAGGAUGUUUUCAUUAAUCAGGGAACGAAAGUUAGGGGAUCGAAGACGAUCAGAUACCGUCGUAGUCUUAACCAUAAACUAUGCCGACUAGGGAUCGGGCGGUGUUUCUAUGAUGACCCGCUCGGCACCUUACGAGAAAUCAAAGUUUUUGGGUUCUGGGGGGAGUAUGGUCGCAAGGC
This 693-nucleotide ribosomal RNA is filed under the name uncultured fungus. Its description in RNAcentral is "SSU rRNA". It matches the Rfam family "Eukaryotic small subunit ribosomal RNA", at positions 440 to 1137 of the family's 1831-position model. Lineage: Eukaryota; Fungi. The record is from RNAcentral.